Molecule: ribosomal RNA, 371 nt
Filed under: uncultured bacterium
Lineage: Bacteria
Description: partial 16S ribosomal RNA
Rfam family: Bacterial small subunit ribosomal RNA
Source: RNAcentral
CCUACGGGAGGCAGCAGUGGGGAAUAUUGGUCAAUGGGCGCAAGCCUGAACCAGCGAAGUAGCGUGAAGGAUGAAUGCCCUACGGGUUGUAAACUUCUUUUAUAAGGGAGUAAAUUAAGACGCUUGUGCCUCUUGAUGUGUCGUUUAUGAACAAGGAUCCGCUAACUCGGUGCCAGCAGCGGCGGUAAUACGGAGGCUCCUCGCGUUGUCCUGAUUGAUUGGGUUUAAGGGGAGAGUAGAUGGGUUGUUAAGUCAGAUGUGAAAGUUGGGGGCUCAACCGGAAAACUGCAAUUGAUACUGGCAGACUUGAGUACAGUUGAGGUAAGCGGAAUUCGUGGUGUAGCGGUGAAAUGCUUAGAUAUCAGGAAGAA